UACGUAGGGUGCGAGCGUUAAUCGGAAUUACUGGGCGUAAAGCGUGCGCAGGCGGUUUUGUAAGCCAGAUGUGAAAGCCCCGGGCUUAACCUGGGAACUGCCUUUGUGACUGCAAGGCUUGAGUGCGGCAGAGGGGGAUGGAAUUCCGCGUGUAGCAGUGAAAUGCGUAGAUAUGCGGAGGAACACCGAUGGCGAAGGCAAUCCCCUGGGCCUGCACUGACGCUCAUGCACGAAAGCGUGGGGAGCAAACAGG
This 253-nucleotide ribosomal RNA is filed under the name uncultured bacterium. RNAcentral's name for it is "partial 16S ribosomal RNA". It matches the Rfam family "Bacterial small subunit ribosomal RNA", at positions 524 to 776 of the family's 1533-position model. The record is from RNAcentral.